GACGAACGCUGGCGGCGUGCUUAACACAUGCAAGUCGAACGGAAAGGCCCUGCUUUUGUGGGGUGCUCGAGUGGCGAACGGGUGAGUAACACGUGAGUAACCUGCCCUUGACUUUGGGAUAACUUCAGGUAACUGGGGCUAAUACCGGACAGGAGCUCCUGCUGCAUGGUGGGGGUUGGAAAGUUUCGGCGGUCGGGGAUGGACUCGCGGCUUAUCAGCUUGUUGGUGGGGUAGUGGCUUACCAAGGCUUUGACGGGUAGCCGGCCUGAGAGGGUGACCGGCCACAUUGGUACUGAGAUACGGCCCAGACGGCUACGGUAGGCAGCAGUGGGGAAUAUUGCACAAUGGGCGGAAGCCGGAUGCAGCAACGCCGCGUGCGGGAUGACGGCCGUCGGGUUGUAAACCGCUUUCGCCUAUGACGAAGCGGGAGUGACGGUAAUGGGUAAAGAAGCACCGGCUAACUACGUG
RNAcentral lists this ribosomal RNA (468 nucleotides) under uncultured bacterium. RNAcentral's name for it is "partial 16S ribosomal RNA". It matches the Rfam family "Bacterial small subunit ribosomal RNA", at positions 28 to 507 of the family's 1533-position model. The record is from RNAcentral.